GUUCUUCAAAAAAUAAGUUCAUCUAUCCCAAUUCACUUUUUCAUAAUCUAUAUGCAACAAUCAUCUUACAAAUAUUAUUUAAUUAUAAUUUAUUAUUCAUCAUAUAUCAUUUCAAGUUCACCUCUCUUCAAUUUUAUCUUUAGUACAAAAUUAUUUAUCUAAUUUAUAAGUUCAAUUAUCCAAAUGUUUUGAUACUAUGCUCAUAUAUUAAAGCAUAGAAACUUGGGGGAAUGUGAUUCCCGCCAAGAGCACACCUCUUUUAUCCAAUGUGUAUUUAUGCCUUUAUUUUGUGUAUGUUGGGCAUUAACCAAUUCUGCAGUCUUGGCUCCAAAAUAUGGAGCCCAAAUUCAAAUUCAAAAAUUUUUGGAGCCCAAAUUUAUUGUUGAUAAAUGUGAGCUUUUUUCUAUAAAUAGGGGACUCUGAUUAUUUCAGAUGACAUUUUCAGCUUGCAAUCUUUCUCUCUCUACUCUUGGUAUCAGCUUGCAAUCUUUCUCCAUUAUUUACUCUUGGUUUCUUUAUUGCUUCUUUAUGCUAUUUUAAUUUUACUGGUGCUAUUUUUCUUUUUAUUCUGUUUAGUUUUUUGUCUGUUUAUUAUUAGUUUCAAUUACAACUAAGAUACAAAUUUAUACACUUUUUUCUACUUUACACACAAAGUCUAAAAAUGUAGCUAAUAUAUCUGAAUUUUUGCAGCAGAUCAAGACCGCAGAAGAUUAAGACUGAAUCUUUCAGUGGAAGUAUUACCACUGAGAUCUGAAGUAUUACCACUGAGAUCUGCAAAAGGCACAAGAAAGUUUACUCUCAGGCUUAUGAAGUUGAAAAAGUUGUAUAAAUCAACAAGGAUGUAUAUCAGUAGCAAAAAAAGUCGAAAGAUAAUGAAUUUGUGUGGAUGUUCAUAGAUCUACAUGCGAAAGAAAAUAAAGAUGUUCAUAGAUCUACAAAAAUCAAAUGCGAAAAACAGACUGCAAACAAGAGCAAAGAUGUUCAUAGAUCUACUGAAUCAGAUGCCAAAAAAUAGUACUGAAAUCAGAUCUGCGAAAAAUAUUUUUUUUGUUUAUAGAUUUUUCAAAAAAUCAGAUGCCCAAAACAGAUAGACAAAAAUCAGGCAAAUGAAGAAAUAUUCUUUGUUGGAAAUAUAUCCAUUAAUUUCUUCAUAAGUUGAAAGACAAAAAGGAAGACAAAAUAUAGAAAAUGAAAGAUAAAGACUUUUGUGAAAUAACUGACAAGACACGGGAGCUCCACAUUCUCUAGCUUAAGUGCAAAAGGGGUGGGGAACAAAAUCAGGAGAUAAAGAAGGAUUAUGCAUAUUCAGUCGUCCUCCAUAUGUUACAUGCAUACAAGCAAAACAUACAAAUUAUUGGAACGAAGGAUGCACAUAAAAUCGGUCAAAUAACAGUUAAUUUCAACUUAACUUUACACAACAAGCUUCUUGGGAUACUUCAGAUCUGCGAAAAAUAUUUUUUUUGUUUAUAGAUUUUUCAAAAAAUCAGAUGCCCAAAACAGAUAGACAAAAAUGCAGAUACCCAAAAUAUCUUACUGUAUUAAACAAGCUGUUGUUUCAAAAUUUGUGGCUAAAUGAAAAAAAAUAAAUCCAUACAGCAAGAAAAAAUAUACAUGGAGAUCGCAAGAAUUAAAGAUGCAGUCGAGGGAGGAGGCCGAGAUCUGGAAGCUAGGGCUGGGCGACGCCGUAGUUUGAAACUCGGACGGCGGCGGCUGGAUAAGGGCUGAGCAGAGGGAGGCAGCGGCUCAUUUAUCGUCGUCGAGGAGAGAGGCGACACCGCGUGGAGCGUCGUCUAGAUGUGAGGCCGGAGUUGGUAGUUUAGGGAUCUAAGGGUUUUCGGACCGCGGCUUGCCGGAUACGGUUGCAGGUUUUUCUCCGGCAGAGGGAGAGAGAGAAGACAUAGAGAGAACGUUUGAGCUUCUCGCCGGCAGGUGGAAGAAAGUCGGCAGAGGGAGAGAGAAGACAAGGGAGAGCACGGAUGGGAGAAGAAAUGAGAGAGAAGAAGCGGCGCUGAACC
This 2015-nucleotide long non-coding RNA is filed under the name Salvia miltiorrhiza (redroot sage). Its description in RNAcentral is "long non-coding RNA (SMIL_LNC001824)". The record is from RNAcentral. Lineage: Eukaryota; Viridiplantae; Streptophyta; Magnoliopsida; Lamiales; Lamiaceae.